CAGCACCUCAAGUGGUUAGGAUGAUUAUUGGGCCUAAAGCAUCCGUAGCCGGCGCUGUAAGUUUUCGGUUAAAUCUGUACGCUCAACGUACAGGCUGCCGGGAAUACUGCAGCGCUAGGGAGUGGGAGAGGUAGACGGUACUCGGUAGGAAGGGGUAAAAUCCUUUGAUCUAUUGAUGACCACCUGUGGCGAAGGCGGUCUACCAGAACACGUCCGACGGUGAGGGAUGAAAGCUGGGGGAGCAAACCGGAUUAGAUACCCGAGUAGUCC
RNAcentral lists this ribosomal RNA (270 nucleotides) under uncultured archaeon. RNAcentral's name for it is "partial 16S ribosomal RNA". It matches the Rfam family "Archaeal small subunit ribosomal RNA", at positions 477 to 747 of the family's 1478-position model. The record is from RNAcentral.